Molecule: long non-coding RNA, 586 nt
Filed under: Serinus canaria (Common canary)
Lineage: Eukaryota; Metazoa; Chordata; Aves; Passeriformes; Fringillidae
Description: lncRNA (ENSSCAG00000011511.1)
Source: RNAcentral
AUGGGGAUGGGGACGGUGAGGAUGAUGAAGAUGAAGAUGAGGAGGAUGAUGGUGGUGAUGAAGAUGAUGAUGAUGGUGAAGAUGAGGAUGAUGAUGAGGAUGAGGAUGAUGACGAUGAAGACGACGAUGAAGACGAUGAUGAAGACGAUGAUGAAGACGAUGAUGAAGACGAUUGAUGAGGAUGAUGAUGAAGAUGAUGAUGAUGAAGAUGAUGAUGAUGACGAUGAAGAUGAGGAGGAUGAUGAUGACGAUGAUGAUGAUGACGAUGAUGACGAUGAUGAGGAGGAUGACGAAGAUGAGGAUGAUGAUGAUGAUGAUGAAGAGCCGGGGCCCUCAGCAGCAGGCCCAGGUGGGCGGGGAGCUCUCCUUGAGGCUGAUGUAGUCCCCGGUGGCAGCGGGGCCGGAGCUGCCGUCCCCGGAGCAGGAGGACAUCAUCUUCUCCAUCAGAACCCUGCGGAGAAAACCCUCAGCUCAUCGGGCCUCCUCCUGCUUGGCUUUUGUUUGUUUGAUUCAUUUUUGGGGCUUUUCUAGGAACCAGUAGCAUUGGGCAGUGCAGAAAAGAAAUAAAAAUUAAAAAAGCCAAGCA